UGUUUGCAACUUUGCAUCUGCAGUAGAAAUAACGCUUAAUUUCAUGCUUGCGAUUCUUCAACAAUUUCCCAUACGUUUUUUAACUGUUUCGUGCGUAAUAAAAUUUAACGAUACAGAUUCUCAAGAAAAAAAAGCUUGUGUUUUUUGGUUAUCCACUAUCCAUUCAGCUUUGUUGGUUGGCUUUCGAUUUAUAAAACUGAUCUUCGACUACUUCUAAUACUUUUUGGCAUGCCUAAAAAGUGGAAUCGCCGGAAGAAGAGAGACCAGUCAGCUCCGGACUGCGAGCGUGUCACUACUAAUUGCCGGGAAAGAUGGAGGCAGCAGCAUGUAAACACCGCAUUCUGCAAGCUGCGCAGGAUACUUCCUACAUAUCCCAUUGAUAAGAAGCUGAGCAAGCAGGAAAUAUUACGAAGAGCCAUCAAAUACAUUCAUCUGCUUGAACGAGUUCUGCGCUGCAUUGAUAAGUCGGCAACAGGCUCAGUCGACGAAAUGCAAAUCGGUUUCCGAUAACCUUUAUGAGCUAGAACAUAAUGCCAUGCUCGGAAUCUGUGCGACACCGAAAGGACAAAAAGAUGCACGCUAAAUUCCCUUGCUGACCCUUUUUCUGUAUAUCGGAUUAUUCGGACGACAAUCACAACAUCCGCUUCUAGUUUUGACUUUUGACAUGUGCAUGAUGCGAUACAGUAAAGUGCUAGCGGUGGUUUAAUACGGUGCAAUCGCGCCCUUUUGCGUCUCGAGCGCAGUAAAUAUCACUAACAGUACGUUAAUUGCUAGCGAGUCCCGUUUUGGGUUAUAAACUGUUCA
Long non-coding RNA from Paramacrobiotus metropolitanus, 804 nucleotides. RefSeq lists it as uncharacterized. The transcript has 4 exons. NCBI's taxonomy places the organism in Eukaryota, Metazoa, Tardigrada, Eutardigrada, Parachela, Macrobiotidae. The record is from RefSeq and is a predicted model, not a curated record.